AUUUUUGCCGAAUUCCUUUUUAUUAAUUUAUUAAUUUAUUAACUUUUUUUAUAUAAAAAUAUACUAAUUUUAUCAUUAUCUCUAAUUUUUUUUAAUUAAAAAUUAUUUUUUUAUAUAAAAUUAAAAUAAUUUAAAUUUUAUAAUUAAAUGAAAUUAUUUAUAAAAAAUUACAAUUUAUAAACAAUAUAAAUUUUAAAAUUUUCAUUUAUAUUAAAUUAUUUAUAAAAAUUUAAUUUAAAGCUUAUCCCCUAAAAUAUUUAAUUAAUUUUUAUUUUUAUUAAUAAUUUAAUAAAAAUAAUAUAAAUUAAUUUAAAAUUAAAUUUUUUUCUAAAAAAACUAGAUAUUUUUAAAAACGAUUAACAUUUCAUUUCAAAUUAAUUAUUUAAAAUAAUUAUUCAACAUUAACUUUAUUAAUUAAUUAUCUCUUUUAAAUUCGAGAUAUAUUUCUCUAAAUAUUUUAUUUAAUAAACUCUGAUACACAAGAUACAAUAAUUAAAAUUUACUUUCUAAUAAAUUAAUUUUUCAAAUUUUUCAAAAUUCUUUCACAAUACAUAAUAAACUAUAAAAUAAUAAAUUUUUUUCUUAAAAAAUACUUUAACCCCCAUUAAAUAUUUUGUAUUUAAAAAUUCUUUUUUUAUUUAUAUUUUUAUUAAUUUUACCCCC
This 663-nucleotide ribosomal RNA is filed under the name Abaeis nicippe (sleepy orange). RNAcentral describes it as "Eurema nicippe (sleepy orange) partial large subunit ribosomal RNA". The record is from RNAcentral. Lineage: Eukaryota; Metazoa; Arthropoda; Insecta; Lepidoptera; Pieridae.